UUAAAGUUUGAUUCUGGCUUUUUCUCUGCUUUAAGGUUAAUAUUCAUGUAAGGUAAGUCGUGCUGUGGUUAUAUAUAGAGUUAACUGUUGCAGUACUCAGUGUAGUAAAUUGGCUAAAUAGAUUAAUGUUGUAGCUAGUAAUCUUUGUGAGCUCAGGGUAAAAUUGUGCCAGCACCUGCGGUUAGACUGAUAGGGUUAGUGGAGAUAUUUAGAGCUUGUAGUUGUAAGUUAUAUUAUAGAUGUAGUAUCAGUUAUUAAGGUAAAAGGUGAAAUUUGGUUCCUAAGAGUGUUUGAUAUUGUCUGUGAAAAUAUUAUAUCUACGGAGGUUAGAGGGUAAAUCAGGAUUAGAUACCCUGUUAUUUUUAACUUUAAAUUGAUAGCUUGAAUAGUAAACAGUUAUGGUCUCGAAACUUAAAGAAUUUGGCGGUACUUUAGUCUAGUUAGAGGAACCUGUUCAGUAAACGAUACUCCACGAAUAAUCUUACUUUCCCUAGUGAUUGUACAGUUUGUAUACCUCCAUUUGUUUAAGUAAUUUCAAAAGAAUAUACUGAAAUAAUUGAAUCUUUAGUUAAUAAUUUAGGUCAAGGUGCAGCUUAUGGGAAAGAAUGAAAUGGGUUACAAUAAAAUGAGUUUUGUAUGGAUGAAAAGGUUAAAUGCUUUUUUGAAAGUGGAUUUAAUAGUAAUUUUAUUUUAAUAUGGUAAUUUGAAAUUAGCUCUAAGGUGUGUACACAUUGCCCGUCGCUCUCACUAUUAUCUUACGUGAGAUAAGUCGUAACAUAGUAGGUGUACUGGAAAGUGCCCCUAGAAAUAA
RNAcentral lists this non-coding RNA (811 nucleotides) under Plesionika izumiae. RNAcentral describes it as "12S ribosomal RNA". It matches the Rfam family "Microsporidia small subunit ribosomal RNA". Lineage: Eukaryota; Metazoa; Arthropoda; Malacostraca; Decapoda; Pandalidae. The record is from RNAcentral.